Molecule: non-coding RNA, 84 nt
Organism: Hypanus sabinus (Atlantic stingray)
Lineage: Eukaryota; Metazoa; Chordata; Chondrichthyes; Myliobatiformes; Dasyatidae
Source: the annotation of a RefSeq genome assembly
GACAAGGUGGUCGAGAGGAUAAGGCGAUGGACUAUUGAUCCAUUGUGCUUUGGACGCGUGGGUUCGAAUCCCAUCCUCGUAGCG